AUGUUCUCCGACGAAGCCAUGCCGCAAUCUCGCCCAGCACCUUCCGUCUUUGAUUUGGUACAACCGGAGAUCUACCAUCGCAACCACACGCCGCAACAACAACUCAUAACACGCAGCCAUCACUACCAACCUCCUCAUCCGCCUCAAUCUCGCCAUCGCAACCUCCCAUCACGCGAACUACCGCCUGUCUCAUGCCACCCCACGCGCCGUCAGACUUUGAAGCCUUGCCGCAACUCCCCGAUUAAGACCACCACCGCCUCCGAGUACAAAUCAACACAAGACGUUUGCUUUGAUUUACAGUUCAGGUUGGUUUUGUUUCUUUUCCUCCAAAUUUUGAUUAUAGUUGUUGUUUGUUCUUGA
Non-coding RNA from Vicia faba (fava bean), 360 nucleotides. NCBI's taxonomy places the organism in Eukaryota, Viridiplantae, Streptophyta, Magnoliopsida, Fabales, Fabaceae. The record is from the annotation of a GenBank genome assembly.